RNAcentral lists this long non-coding RNA (15647 nucleotides) under Pelobates cultripes (western spadefoot toad). Lineage: Eukaryota; Metazoa; Chordata; Amphibia; Anura; Pelobatidae. The record is from RNAcentral.
CUUCAUUGCUAAUGCCAGUUUGUCCAGAAUUACUGAUUAAUGAAAUUAGAAAAUGGAUUCUUAGCAGUUUUGGGAGCAACAUGAAACCAAGGGCAUCAUUGGUGCUCAGUGAUCCUCUGCACCAUUAUGGAUAGGAUGCUAAAAAAUUUUUAAAUUCUUUAGUUUAAUUUUGUUACAUUUACAUGCUUUGCUUGGCAACACCAGACAGAGCAUGCAAAUAAGGUUACCCCUUCUAAUUAGCUAUAGGAACACAUUUGUAUUUCUAAUGCUAUAGUGUUCUUUAACUCAGAUGUGUUAAAUGUGGUAUGUGCCCACCAAGAAAUCUUGCUUGAUUCAUGCACUGAACAUCUGAGAUCAUGAAGAAGACAGAAGAUAAGGUAUACAAUAUACUUCACUUGUAAUGUUUUCUUAUUGCAAUACUAUUUUUUUAAGACUGUAUUCUAGAGUGCUUUGUAUAAGACACAACCCCACAGGAUGGCUGUUUUAAAGGGGCACCCAAGACCCCUAAAGCACUUCAGCAUGUGGAAGUGCUUUAUGGGUUAAUUAUAAGUCCCUUUGUCCCAAUUCAUUUAUUCACUGAAAAGAGUACUUCAUUCAGCAAACUGACAAUUGUAUUGCAAAAUUCAGACUGUAGCCAUAUUAAAGAAUGCAUGUCGCCCCUCUUUUCUGGGAGCUCCAUAUUAUUGGUGAAUCUGAGUGCUUCACAGCAAUAAGUCAGUAAUGUGUUUUGGAACUCCCAUAACUAUGUUUAUAAAUCAUGUUUAUAAUGCCUCCGAACAGGCCCACCCCUGGCCAAUUCCCCCACCCCUUUGUGCAUUUGAAAUGUUAGAACGUAUGAAGAAAAAAAGAGCAUUUGAAAAAAAAUUCUAUUAUCCUAGGGGGACCCUGACCCUCAAGGUCCCCCUCCCAACGCGCUGAAGGGGUUAAAACCCCUUCAGCAGCUUACCUUAAUCCAGCGCCGGGCUCCCUCGGCACUGGUGACCUCUCCUCCCCUGCUGACGUCAGCUCCCGAAUGGAGCGGAAUGCGCAUGCACGGCAAGAGCCGCGUGCGCAUCCAAACAGUCCAUAGGAAAGCAUUUCUCAGUGCUUUCCUAUGGACGUUCUGCACGUUGGAUGCAAAUUUUGCAUCCAACGUCUCAGAAGCGCCUCAAGAGGCUGUCAGGAAGACAGCCACUCGAGGUUGGGUUAACCCUGCUAUGUAAACAUAGCAGUUUCUCUGAAACUGCUAUGUUUACAUGUAAGGGUUAAAACCUGAGGCACCUGGCACCCAGACAACUUAAUUGAGCUGAAGUGGUCUGGGUGACUAUAAUGUCCCUUUAAGUACUCCAUCACUUACUGAUCCUUGAGUAUUACAUAUUCACUAAACAAAAUUAUAAAAGCAGUACCCCCAUUUUCCAUGAGCUGAACUCAAAGAUCUAAGAUUUUUUCUAUGUACACAAAAGGCCUAUUUCUCUCAAAUAUUGUUCACAAAUCUGUCUAAAUCUGUGUUAGUGAGAACUUCUCCUUUUCCGAGAUAAUCCAUUCACCUCACAGGUGUGGCAUAUCAAGAUGCUGAUUAGACAGCAUGAUUAUUGACCACCCCCGGGUUAGCCCACCAUAUUGAGAAUUUUAACAAAAGAUUAUUCCAUUUGUUAGAUCAGGUUUGAUCAACAAUUUUUUUCGUUAAAUCUACUCUAAAAUAUGCGAUAUUAACAAUCAUUUUCGGGGGGGCUAACCCGUAGCCAGCCCCCCUCAACAAAAAUUUGUACAAAAUGUUGAUUAUGAUAGCUCUACGUUAGAUCAGGUUUUGUCGGGAUCCCGCGGGCGGCUGCGAGGGGAGGCUGCACUCCGCUCGCAGUACUCACCCUCCAGCCGUCCGCGGUCCCCUCCUCCUCGUGGGUACAGCGAGCGGCAUCCUCGGAUGCCGCCCGCCAUUUCCUCCACGUCCCCCAGCGGCAGCAUGCAUGACGCUGCACGCUGGGAGACCGCCCAGGUUUAUACACGCCGGGGUCAGUCACCUGACCCGGCAUUAAAGGCACAGUGCCUUAAUCACAGUGGGAGGUCUAGAUAUCUCCCGCGUGUGAUUGUUAAUUCUGAUUGGAAAUUAUCCAAUCAGAAUUAACCUUAUGGUUUAAAUACUUACCUUUCCUGUUCCUCCCUGCCCUGUUGUGGUCUUUGCUUACUAGUAUUGCUACUUACCUUGUGGUUCUGGUUACGUACUCUCUGGCUUGUUUAUCUGACGCUGUGACUUUCUCCUACCCUUUGACCUCGGCUUGUUUCACGUUAUUCUGUCUUCUGGUUCCCCUUACUCGGCUUGUCUCCUAACUAUUCUGUGUGUGCUUAGCCCGGCCACUCUAAGGUCUGGUAUGGCACCUUUUGUGUGUGUGUGUGUGUGUGUGUCAGCGUGUUGGGUUCCCCGAAUCGUGACAGGUUUGAUCAGGCAACAUUUCUGUUAGAUCUAGUCUAAUUACUGAGAUAUUGCAUAUAUAAUUAGGGGGGGCUGAUCAAAAGUUUUUUUCGUUAGAUCUAUCACGCAAGAGGCAGUUUUCACUACUUAACUUUGUGGGCAUGACUUCAGGUUAGCCCCCCCUCAAGUGAAAUUUGAAUUUUUUAAAAUUGAUUUUGGUAGAUUCGUUAGAUCAGGUAAGAUCAACAGUUUUUUUUCCCCCUUAGAUCUAUCACGCAAGAGGCGAUAUUCACUACCUAACUUUGUGGGCGUGACUAUGGGUUAGCCCCCCUCAACUGAAAUUUGUACACAAUUCCCAGUUCUUACAUGGCCAGCAUAUUCACCGGACAGUAACCCAUUGUCCAUGUUUGGGAUGCUCUGGAUUGGCAUAUAUGACCAGCCUUAGGCCUUCACAGCACCCCCCCUUCAUCCAUAUAUAGUGUGUGUGUGUGUGUGUGUGUGUGUGUGUGUAUAGGAGUGUUGUAUAGGGAAUUUAUUAAAUUCAAUAAGGAUUUAACAACACAUAUUCAUUCCUCCUUUCCUGUUGUUACCUAGUUGGGAGAGAAGCAUGCUGAUCUGAAUCUGGUCUGCCCCUCCACUGGGUACAGACCAUGCAUAACUGUCCUGUGGUAAUCUGCGGCAGUGCUCUGAUUAUCCCGAGCUAGGAAGACAGCUACUUAUGGUCUGUAGCCAACAGAAGUGCCAGACUGCUUCCCCUACAUUACUGAGGAGCAGACUAAGUAUGUCACAUAAUACUGUGAGUGGUUUUGCUUUGGAGCUCUUGAUUAUACCUAUUUACCUUGACCUCUUUGGAAAUAAAAUUUAGUAGUAAUGCGCUACUUCUCCAUUUAUCACAGAGCUCCACAACAAUAAAACUCCCAGUAAUGUGGAGCUCUGUGACAAGAUCAUACACUACACAACAAUACAACUCUGAGUAAUGUGUCUAUUAGUGUAUUACCGAGCUCCCUAACUAUAAAACACAGAGUAAUGUGCAUUUUAUAUACCAGAGCUCCACUAUAAUACAUCUCACUAUAAUAUGAUGUAAUGUUUGUGUUGUCUAUGUAUGUGAUAGGUGUGAUGACUGUGUGUGAUAUGUAUGCUAUAUGUUGGCUGUGUGUGAUAUUUGUAAUGGGUGUAUUAACUGUGUGUGAUAUGUGUGUAUUGGGUGUUUGUGAUAUUUGUGCUGGGUUUAUUGGCUGUGUGUAAUGGGUAUUUAAUUCAGAUAAAAAUAUGCAUUUAGGCUUAUGUGUGAAUGCAGGUGUAUAUUUUUGCAGAGUUAUGUGCACAUAAUCCCACAGUUAGAUGCACACAGUUACACAUAUACACUGUCAAAUCCACCACAUGCACACAGUCGCAGACAGAUGGUCACAUACACAGGAUCGGGCAGAAAAACACAGGUACAGGCAGUAACUCACAUACACAGUUACAGGGAGAUAAACACACUCACACACAAUUACAGGCAGACAGCCACACAUACAGUCUUAAACACACAGGCAGACAGACACACACACACACACACACACAGGCAGACAGCCACACACACACACAGGCAGUCUCACACACACACACAGGCAGACAGCCACGCACACACACACACACACAGGCAGACAGUCACACACACAGGCAAUCACACAUAGUUAGCUCUGUUCAUCAUGGUGGAGUGGAGGCAGUGCAGCUCCUGGAGACUGAUUGUUGGGUUAGCAGAAACUCCUUCCUGCUUCCCCUGCAGCAGUUACCCGGCACUUUUAGCUCCGCCCCCUCCAUCAGUUUAGCUCCACUGCACAGUAAGCUCGCCCCCACACACGGUAAGCUCCGCCCCUGCUGCACAGUAAGCUCCACCCCCGCAGCAUUAUUAUUAUUUUUUAUUUUUUUUAUCCAUAGUUGCCAGCUGUCCCGUUUUUGCCAGGCCAGUCCCGGCCCCCCUCUCACACCGUGUCUCCCGGCCGCUGCAGGAGAUGUGCCCGCUCACACUGCUCACCCAGCGGUAAUGCUCUGAGGAGAGGAGCCUGUAGUGGGCGGGGCAUGUGAUAUCACUUCCCAUCAGGCCCUGCUAGAGAUUACCGAGCUGGGAGCGCAGGGAGCGGCACUUCCCAUCAGGCCCUGCUAGAGAUUACCGAGCUGGGAGCGCUGGGAGCGGCACUUCCCAUCAGGCCCUGCUAGAGAUUACCGGGCUGGGAGCGCAGGGAGAGCAGGGAGCGGCACUUCNNNNNNNNNNNNNNNNNNNNNNNNNNNNNNNNNNNNNNNNNNNNNNNNNNNNNNNNNNNNNNNNNNNNNNNNNNNNNNNNNNNNNNNNNNNNNNNNNNNNCCUCCUAGGUAUGGAGGGGAAGCCAAGACAUGCAGAGGUUUUAUUAAUCAAAUAGAAUUCCACCUUGAGAUGUAUCCUCAUUCCUUUCCCACUGAUAGGUCUAAAGUGGGUUUUUUGAUGCAUCAACUUACUGACAAAGCACUUGAGUGGGCAAAUCCUAUUUGGGAGGCCAAUGGACCUAUGGUUCAUGAUUUCAAUAGUUUUCUUGCAGCUUUUCGUAGAACUUUUGACACAACAAAGAGGUCAAAGAAUGCCGCAAGAGCAUUAAUGAGGAUUAAACAGGGGUCUAGGUCUGUGGUGGAUUAUGCUAUUCAGUUUCGUACCCUUGCUUCACAGGUAGAUUGGACCAAUAAUGGGUUAACUACUGCGUUCAUGGAAGGUUUAUCUGACACUAUAUUAGAUGAGGUAGCGCAAGGGAGCUUCCUAUUCCAUUAGAGGAUCUUAUUGACUACCUCAUUGAUAUAGAUAAUAGAAUUCGCGACAGGCUCUAUACCAAAAACAAGAAUAGACGUCUGGUCACAUCUAUUAACCCUAGAGUUGAUAAACCUGAGUGUGUUAAAGUACCCGAGGAGGAACCCAUGCAAUUAGGGGUUGCCAAACUCUCGGAUACUGAAAAACUACUUAGAAGAAGGAAUGGACUCUGCCUAUACUGUGGUAGGCGAGACCAUAUGGUAAGGGAAUGUCCUUUGCGUCGGGAAAACUCUCGCACCUAAGACCUUAUAGGGGACUGGCCUUGGGUGUGAUCUCUAAGUCUCCUAAAUUGCCUCCUAAUCGUUUGCUUCUCCCUGUUUCCCUUCAUAUGGGGGUGAGUUGUAUAGCAGAAUGCAUAUUAGCCUUGGUUGAUUCUGGGGCUGCUGAGAACUUUAUUGACUCUGAGUUUGUUACUAAAAAUAACAUUCCCGUCAGAGAAAGGGAGAUACCCUUGGCCAUUGAGGCCAUAGAUGGUAGACCAUUAAGUUCUCCAAUUGUUACUCAUGAAACUGUACCAUUACACAUGUAUACAGGGGUUUUACACUUUGAAACCAUUCAAUUCCAGGUUAUCACAUCUCCCUCUUCUCACAUUGUGUUAGGGUACCCAUGGUUUCGUACUCACAAUCCCAUUUUCGAUUGGGAGUCAGGGCAAAUAAAAUCAUGGAGCGAUGCCUGCCAUGAGUCCUGUACUAUUGAAGUCACCCCUUUGAAUUCUAUUAAUGUCCCUACAACUCCUCCUUUGUCCACUGUUAUACCCUCUCAGUACUUAUUUCUCAAAACUGUCUUCGAUAAAAGGGAGGCUGACAAAUUACCACCUCACAGACCCUAUGAUUGUGCUAUCGAUUUAUUGCCUGGCACAAUACCUCCAAAGGGCAGGGUGUACCCUUUAUCUGUUCAAGAAAACCGUGUCAUGGAGGAGUAUAUUAAGGAACCAUUAGAAAAGGGGUUUAUUAGGAGAUCCUCUUCUCCGGCUGGAGCGGGGUUCUUCUUUGUAUCAAAGAAAGAAGGUGAUUUAAGACCGUGUAUCGAUUAUAGAGGUCUAAAUAAAAUCACCAUCAAAAAUGCAUAUCCUAUACCUUUGAUCACAGAAUUAUUUGACAGACUCAAACAUGCUACUGUAUUCACUAAAUUGGAUCUUAGAGGUGCAUACAAUUUAAUACGUAUUAAGAAAGACCACGAAUGGAAAACGGCAUUCAACACUAGAUCUGGCCAUUACGAGUAUACUGUUAUGCCAUUUGGUCUAUGCAAUGCCCCAGCAGUAUUUCAAGAAUUUAUCAAUGACGUUUUAAGAGACUUUAUUCACACAUUUGUAAUUGUGUACUUAGACGACAUAUUAAUAUACUCUACAGAUUUACACACUCAUCACAGGCAUGUUACGACAGUUCUGAAGACCCUUCUUGCUAAUGGUCUUUAUUGUAAACUGGAAAAAUGUCUAUUUGACCAAUCCGAAGUCCAGUUUUGGGGGUAUUUAAUUUCCGCUAAAGGUUUUCGUAUGGAUCCCCAGAAGCUUUCUGCUGUCAUGGAAUGGCCUCUUCCACAAGGUUUGAAAGCCAUUCAGCGUUUUCUUGGUUUCUCUAAUUAUUAUAGACGCUUUAUUAAAGGUUUUUCCUCUAUUGUAGCGCCUAUCACCCGUAUGACAAGAAAGGGAGGCAAUACUCGUGUCUGGUCUCCCGAGGCACUUCAGGCUUUUGAGUUUCUUAAAACCACAUUCGCUUCUGCACCUAUUUUACAGCACCCUAUCCCCACACUGCCCUAUAUUCUUGAAGUUGAUGCUUCUGAUAUCGGGGUAGGUGCUGUCUUAUCCCAAAGAGAGUCGCCUGAAAAACCAUUGCAUCCUUGUGGCUUCUUCUCCAAACAAAUGUCCAAAGCAGAAAAGAAUUAUGAUGUGGGUAAUCGCGAACUCCUUGCUAUUAUUUUAGCACUGAAAGAAUGGAGACAUUUGUUAGAAGGAACUAAAGAUCCUAUUCUCAUAUUUACGGAUCAUAAGAACUUAUCCUACCUUAGUGAGGCUAAAAGACUGUCUUCUAGGCAGGCUAGGUGGUCACUAUUUUUGUCCCAUUUCAAUUACAUUAUCACCUAUAGGCCAGGUGACCGCAACACUAAAGCAGACGCUCUGUCCAGACAGUUCGAAACUGCUGACAAACAGGAGAUUGAUGUUACUCCUGUGAUUUCCCCAGAAAGGAUAAUCGCUACCACUGUUUUGUCUAUUUCUUCGUCCCUCUUGCAGGCCAUACAAGCGAAACAAAGCAUGGCACCUAGCGAGAGACCUACUGAUAAACUAUUCGUUGAUGUUCCCGAGAGACGGGGGAUUCUGUCGUUGUAUCAUGACACUAAGACUGCUGGACAUCCUGGUAUUUCCAAAACGGUGUCAGCAGUUUCUCGGUAUUUUUGGUGGGAUUCCUUACGCAAGGAUGUCACUGACUAUAUAGGUGCUUGUACUACUUGUGCCUGUAUGAAAUCUUCUCGUAGGGCUCCUUGUGGGCUGUUGCAUCCGCUACCUAUUCCCGAGAGACCUUGGUCUAACCUGUCCAUGGAUUUUAUUGUUGAAUUACCUCCCUCGAAUGGUAACACAGUUAUCCUAAUGAUAGUGGAUCGGUUUUCCAAGAUGGCUCACUUUGUGUCUCUUCACAAGCUGCCCACGUCCAGGGAACUAGCACUUGUUUUCGCCAGAGAGGUGUUUCGAUUACACGGCAUUCCCGUAUCUAUUGUAUCUGAUAGGGGUAGCCAAUUUAUUUCCAGGUUCUGAAAAGUCUUUUGUUCGGAAAUGGGUAUUUCUCUCUCAUUUUCUUCCGCUUACCACCCCCAGUCUAAUGGAGCUGCCGAACGUGCCAAUCAAUCUCUGGAGCAGUACCUUCGUUGUUUCGUAUCCCACCAUCAGAACAAUUGGUCUGACCUUCUUCCUUGGGCUGAGUUUGCUCUGAAUAACGCUACUCAUGAUUCUUCCGGCAAGAGUCCUUUUUACGUUGUAUAUGGCCAACAUCCUGUUGUUCUUCCGGCUGCUUUCUCCUCACAGGGCAUGCCAGUUCUGGAUGAAUAUUUGGCUAAUUUGCGUAAUACUUGGGAGCAGGUUCAGCGUUCUUUGGUGGAUUCCGCUGCUCGCCAGAAGGUGCAGGCUGACAAGCAUCGCAGGGCGGCUCCUUCUUAUGUUGUGGGGGACAGGGUUCUGCUUUCUACGCGAAACAUUCGCCUCCGGGUGCCUUCUAUGAAGUUGGCUCCCCGCUUUAUUGGUCCUUAUCAUAUUCUGCAUAAGGUUAAUCCUGUUUCGUAUGCCUUGGGUCUCCCUAAGAAUCUGCGUAUUCCUAAUGUCUUUCACACCUCGUUGUUAAAGCCUUUCAUACGCAACCGCUACACCCGACAUGCACCUCCUCCCCCUCCUGUUUCUGUGGAGGGUCAUGAGGAAUUUGAAGUUUCUGCAGUUCUUGACUCUCGUUUCCUUAGGGGCCGACUUCAGUACCUAGUGCAUUGGAAGGGCUAUGGGCCUGAGGAGUAUAGUUGGAUUUCCGCUGACGCGGUUCACGCUCCUCGUCUUGUGCGCUCUUUCCAUUCUCGUUUUCCUGCCAGGCCUGGCCCUCCCCGCCCGGAGGGCGUGUCCUCAGGGGGGGGUAAUGUAGCGGUACUUACCCUUUCCAGGGGCCGGCCAGGGUCCUCUGUUCGAGCCGCGCGCGGUCCUGCUGCUGCACGAGCCGCGCGCGGCUCAUCCGACGGCUGUGACUGGAAAGCGGUCACGUGUUCCACCUAACUCUAAGAGCGCGCCGCGGGUAUCGGGUGCGCUCUUAAAGGGACAGUGGGUGCCUAAAUUGGAAAAGGCAUCCCAUUGGUCCUUGUCAUGCCACACUCCCCAUACACUUACCUUUUGGGGGCGUGGAUGUGACAGGGACCAAUCAAAUUAGAUGUUUAGGUAUUUAUACUCACCUUCUUCCCUUUGUUCCUUGCCCUAUCGUGGUUUCUGUAUCAGUUCCCUUUAGCGCUUGUUGUGUUCAGUUGUGUUUCCCCGUAUUGACCUUGGCUUUGUUUCUGACUACGUUUUCUCUUUAUCCUUAUCUGUUCUGGUUGUCGGCUUGUUGUUUACUGUGUACCAGACCCCGGCUUGUCUCUGUGUGCCCUUGAUUUCGGAUUGUUCCUGACUCUGUCUCCUCUCAUAUACGUCGAGUCCGGCCAUUCUAAGGUCCGGUAGACGUAGCUCUCCUCUGUGUUGUCUUUUGUUUAGCUGAAUCCUGCGUGUUGGGGUAUAUUCUCGUUACAGAGAUAUUUCUUGGCCCAGUCUUGACGUUUCAGCUUGUGUGUCUUGUUCAGUGGUGGUCGUCUUUCAGCCUUUCUUACCUUGGCCAUGUCUCUGAGUAUUGCACACCUUGUGCUUUUGGGCACUCCAGUGAUGUUGCAGCUCUGAAAUAUGGCCAAACUGGUGGCAAGUGGCAUCGUGGCAGCUGCACGCAUGACUUUUCUCAGUUCAUGGGCAGUUAUUUUGCGCCUUGGUUUUUCCACACGCUUCUUGCCACCCUGUUGACUAUUUUGAAUGAAACGCUUGAUUGUUCGAUGAUCACGUUUCAGAAGCUUUGCAAUUUUAAGAGUGUUGCAUCCCUCUGCAAGAUAUCUCACUAUUUUUGACUUUUCUGAGCCUGUCAAGUCCUUCUUUUGACCCAUUUUGCCAAAGGAAAGGAAGUUGCCUAAUAAUUAUGCACACCUGAUAUAGGGUGUUGAUGUCAUUAGACCACCCCCCUUCUCAUUACAGAGAUGCACAUCACCUAAUAUGCUUAAUUGGUAGUAGGCUUUCGAGCCUAUACAGCUUGGAGUAAGACAACAUGCAUAAAGAGGAUGAUGUGGUCAAAAUACUCAUUUGCCUAAUAAUUCUGCACUCCCUGUAUAAAUGUAUAUAUCGUGUUUACUCAAAUAUGACAAGUUAUUUUUCAGAGGAAAUGCUAUGAAAGUUACCUCACCUUAUAUUCAAUUUCACCUUAUGAUCAGACUUUUUAAGAGAGAUCUGCUAAUAAGCCUGGGAUCCAGAUGCCCUGCAUUGUGUAGAGGAAUUGGAUCUCUUUGGUGACAAUGGAUGUCAGAUAUUGCAAAGUUGUUUUUUUUUUUAUUUCGAUUAAUAUAUUUAUUUGAACAUACAUAUGAGACUUAAUUUAAAUUUUUUUUUAUAAAAUGUCAUCAUUAUACAUUGACAAAUUUAAAAAGAUAGCUAGUACUAGGUACACACUCUCACAGAAACCUCCAAUGUCUUGACCUAGAGCAUUUCUCCACUAAUCUCCAAACUCUCCUUUUACCUAUCUCAAACCUCACCUGUCCUAGCUAUGCAACCUCCUUCUACAAUUCCACCCUCUCCUCUCAACUAGACAUCAUGGCACCUUGUACAUUUAAACGCCGCAGGCCCCCCCCCCAACAACAACCCUGGCACACCAAGCUCACUCGAUACCUCCAAAAAUGCUCCAGAACUGCUGAACGCUGUUGGAGAAAGUCUCACUGUGCAUCUGACUUUCUCCACUAUAAAUUUAUGCUGAGCUCAUACAACUUGGCUCUUUCCUCUGCAAAAGUUAAUUACUUCAAUACCCUCAUAACCACACUCUCCCGCGAACUCAAACGACUAUUUCACACAUUUAACUCUCUUCUUCGCCCUGCUGUUCCUCCUCCACCUACUAACUUGACCGCCUCAGACUUUGCAACUCACUUCACUGACAAGAUCUCUACAAUCAGAGAAGAGAUCUCUCAUCUUUCUUCUUCCCCUUAUAAUACUUCCCCUAACUUCACUCCCUCUGCUGUUCUAUGUUCAUUCGCACCCGCUACAUUGGAAGAGGUUUCUGCUCUGCUCCAGUCCUCCCGCCCCACCACCUGCUCCCUAGAUCCAAUUCCCUCGCAUCUCAUCCGUACUCUGUCUUCUCUUUCUCCACCUCUCACUAAAAUUCUCAAUCUCUCUCUCUCCUCUGGUAUAUUUCCAUUGCCCUUCAAACAUGCAACUGUAACCCCAAUUCUAAAGAAGUCCAAUCUUGACCCUAACUCCCCAUCCAACUAUUGUCCUAUCUCGCUACUGCCUUUUGAAUCCAAGAUCCUUGAAAUAAUUGUGUAUGCGAGAUUGACAGACUUCCUCGAGUCCACCUCUCUGCUAGACCCACUUCAGUCUGGUUUCCGCGCUAAGCACUCUGUGGAAACGGCACUGACCAAAGUAUCCAAUGAUCUACUCACUGCAAAAUCUCAUGGUCACUACUCUAUCCUAAUUCUCCUUGACCUGUCUGCGGCUUUUGACACUGUUGAUCAUCAACAGCUUCUUCUCAUCCUUCGCAAUAUCGGUCUGCAAGAUAUUGCUCCCUCCUGGUGCUCCUCCUACCACUCCCAGCGCUCUUUCAGUGUUUCUUUCUCUGGCUCUGCUUCUUCUCCCCAACUCCUCUCUGUUGGUGUCCCCCACGGUUCAGUCCUUGGUCUCCUACUGUUCUCCAUCUAUACUGCCUCCCUUGGUAAACCUAUUAGCUCCUUUGGCUUCCAAUAUCAUUUCUAUGCAGAUGACGCGCAAAUCUACCUGUCCUCUCCUGAUUUCUCCCCGUCCCUCUUGACUAGUGUCUCUGACUGCCUCUCUGCUGUUUCUAACUGGAUGGCUGCCCACUUCCUUAAACUAAACUUGACCAAAACUGAAAUUCUGGUCUUUCCUCCCUCAAGUGUUGUUACUCCUGUGUCUGUCUCCCACCAAGUCAACGGUGCUACCAUCAGCACCACCACGCAGGCUCGCUGCCUACGUGUUCUCUUUGACUCCGACCUCUCCUUCAAGCCUCAUGUUCACCAUCAAACAUGACCUUAAUUUACUAUAAACAACCAUCCACAACCUGACUACCAACCCACACCAUGUUGCCAGUCCAUAAAGAAUGCGGCGGCAAGGCUCAUCUUCCUGUCCGCCCGCACCUCCCAUGCCUCACCCUUCUGUCAAUCCCUACAUUGGGUCCUAUAAAAUAUAGAGCUCAAUUUAAAAUUCUGGUUCUUGCUUUCAAAUCUCUACAUAAUGCUGCUCCCACCUAUCUAUCCUCCCUUAUACACAAGUAUGUCCCGUCUAGGCCCUUACGAUCUGCUGAAGACGUAUGUCUAUCUUCUGUCCGUACUCCCACCUCUGAUGCUCGCCUUCAAGAUUUCUCGAGGGCUGCACCGUUCCUGUGGAACUCGCUUCCCUCCUCCGUUAGAUGCUCACCCAGUCUCCACUCCUUCAAAAAAGCUUUAAAAACCCACUUCUUCAUAAAAGUGUAUCAAUUAAACUGUUAAUAGCUCUUGACUGAUUCCUCUUCUGCAACUGUCAUUAGUCUAAUACUAUCCUUACCUUUUUGUGUCAUUUUACCCCACUCCCUCUAGCAUGUAAGCUCAUUGAGCAGGGCCCUCAACCCCUCUGUUCCUGUGUGUCCAACUUGUCCGUCCACCCAUUGUAAAGCGCUGCGGAAUUUGACGGCGCUCUAUAAAUAUCAUAAUAAUAAUAAAUAUUAUGUUACCGUCAUUGGCACACAGGAAAGAAAUGUAAAAUUGCACGUAGGUAGUCACCUGUGUUAAUAUAAUAUCACUUUAUUUGAUGCUUGUAGUAAAAGGUACAGUUAUUCAAUUGUAAGAUGUAGGCUAUAACAAUAUUGAUUAUAAAGGCCAGGAAGCAAAGAGCCCUGAAAUGGAAGGCGGGUGACACACAGAGAUACCCCCAGGAUGGCCCACAAGUGGGGUCGGUUGAACAAAGCUGAGAGCAACAACCCGCUAUGUGAACAGGGCACAGAGACAUUCCGUGCAAAGCCAAGUCAGGCUGCCUGAAACAACUCCCAACGAGAUAUGUAUCUGUAGUUAGAUCAUCAAUAUGAGACUAUAAUUAAUAUGUGACUGUGGUUAAUGUUUACCUAUAGUUAACGUAACACUUCUCCUAUUUUUGCAUGAGUCUAAGGCUAAUUGAGAGAUGUAAUGUUUUAAGUCUGCAGCUGCUGCACUUGUCACAAUAGUAAGCUAGACCCAAAAGUCAGACCUAUGCGACAGGUUUAGGCACUCCACACCGCAGACAAGUUGUUCCCUACCUAACGCAUAGACACAUACACUUAUCUUGAAAGGUACUCUCCAUUAUCUAGACGUGCUGCUACCCCUAAACGAAAAAGCGAUAUAAAAUCAACCAUUGACCCACAACUCGGGGAGUACCUUAUGCUGCAUGUCUAUCCCGCGCAUGUCUAUGAGCCUGUGUGUGACAUAACUAGACAGUAUAAGUAUAAACAUAAGUAUACCCUCUUACAUACAGGUGAGAAUGGAAGCCUGCGAUAAGCCUGUUUGCAUCAACCAAUACCAGAAAUGUAAAGCAUGUUCAAAAUAUGACAACCUUCAAUUUAAAUAUAAAAUUGUGCACUGUUACCAUAUGCCCCACUGUUAUAACUGUUCAGGAAUAAGCAAGCAGAAUGCCGUUGGGGUACCACAUGCAUGUUUGUAACACCCAUAUGCACUGCAAAAAUUUAAAAUAAAAUAAAGGCCAGGAAGAUGUUGAUGCUGAAGAACACUCAUCCCAUAAAGAUCAUUAUAUGUCAUAUAAUGUAGAAAAAUAUUAAUUAAUGCAUAUAAGACAAGCCUGUAGUAAACAUGGUUGAAUUUGAUAUUUACAUUUUUAAAACUAUUUUUCAGAUAUGUGCAAAGGAAUUCACAAAGUUCUGAACUGUACUGGCGAUAUAAAGUUGUUCCUGCAUUUUUGGAUGAUAUCACCAAUGUCAACUACACAGUAGGACUGUUGAAAGGAAAAAGCAAAUCACAAAAAUCUCAAGAAUAUACCGUUAAUUGUUCUGGAAAUGUACCAAUAAUCACAUGUGAGGAUUGGCAAAAACAUUCCUUACCUUGUAAGCACAUGUGCUGCAUUUUUAAAUUUGUGGAUGGAUAGGAAUGUGAAGAGCUCUAUUUAUCAUAUUCAAGUAAUCCCCUGUUCUCUUUCGAUUUAGAAUGUUUUUUUAUUUUUUUAUUAUUGCAUUUUGAGCACAAGCUAGGAACAGAAAUUCCAGAUUUUAAUAGCCCUACCUUAUUCCACCUUGAAAAUUUUACUCCACUUCCACCAUGCAGGAGAGCAAAGCGUUACAUUACUGCGUAGCUGUACACAGAAUUUAAAGCGUCUCUUGGAUUCUGUGCAUUAAGUCAAGGAUGAAGAUUAUCUUGGGGAAUUGGAUUCCUCAAUCAAAGAUCUGCUCCAAGGCGCAAAACUUAAAAUACCUGUAGACCAUGGACUCCAUCUGCUUGAGUCUCUCCAGAAAUCCAAACUUUAGAAAAAUCUGAAGCCUUUACCAAGAGCAUAUGGAAAGCCUAAAACGCUAGGAUCACAACGAUUUGGGUCCAAAGCGGACAUGCAAAAACAAGAUGUUUGGGAAAGUAGUGAAGAUCCUUCUGCAAGAGUGGUUGACUUAAAUCCAUCAGAUAAAUGGGUGACUAUAAAUAAUAUUUCGCUCACUUACAGUGACAAAUGGGAUAUUGAGAAAAAUAACUGGUUGGGUGACAACAUUAUAAAUGUAUAUUGACACAUUACUCCAAGCACCUGAAUGUGAGCAAACCCUGCAAAUUCAUCAUGUGUCCAAUCAUUGGGUUGUAUCUCACAGACAUAGUACUACUGUUAUAGUGUAUGACUCCUCUAAUGCAACAUACACUAAAAGAACUACUGGUAAAAUUGGACAGGCCUUUAUUGAGUGGAGCUGAUAUGGUCUUAAAACUGGACCAUAUUUGCCAUCAAAAGCAAGAGGGAGGCAGUGACUGUGGAGUAUUUGCGAUUGCUAAUGCUGUAGCCCUUGCAAGUAGAUUUGAUUUAAACAUGCUGAAUCUACAGCAAAGUAAAAUGAGGACCCACUUAGUUAAUAGUCUUGCUGAAAAGACGAUAAUGUUUCCACACAAGAUAUUGAAUGCACCAGAAAAAAUUGUUGCUUUUUUUUAAGCGAGUUGAACUUACAGUUCAUUGUAAGCGUCAUAUUUACAGGUCAAAAACUCCCAUGGUGGAAUGUUUUGCGUUCAAGCUGUGGUUUCACUUCAGUUGUGUUGGGUUAAAAAAAGAUGACAAAUGUUUGCAAUCAAAGAAAAGGUUUUAUUGCCCCUCUUGCAAAUAAAACCCCAAAAGGUGAAAGAAAUUAAAAAAAAAAGUUGUAGUUUGCAAAGUGUUAAUGUUUUAAAAACCUUAUUAUAUAACAUAUGCCAAACCUGUGAUUAAAAGCGAACUUCAAAAUGUGCGUAUGGGAAUAGAAUAUAAGAAAGCAAUAACUGUACAUGUUUCAGAAUGUUAAAUGUAUUUAAGUUCACUUUUAACCCCUUAAAACUGGAGGGCGUACUAUUACGCCCUAUUCUAAGCGUCUCUAAACGCCGCAGGGCGUAAUAAUACGCCCUCUAGUUUCUGUUACUUACCGAUCGCUGGCGAUCCCACGCCGGUGAUUGCGGUUGGGGAGACUCACCUGGGAUCCCAGGGAGUCCCCCGCGGCGGAUCCUGCCUCCUCCGGCCCCCCC